CUUAAUCAUAGGGGUGAACAGCUAGUGCCAAAUAACUUUGCUGAGCCCAAAAGAAUUAUUAAGUUUCUGUUUUGAUAACUGCACCUAGGAAAACACUAGUGCAGAAACAGGGCACAAAAUCUGUGACCACUUGAAGUUCCGUUUUCAGUUUUCCAGCAAGCAAGAAGCUGAUGCUUCUGAAGCAAUACCAUAACAGUUAUGUGUACGACCCAAGGGGAAGAUUUAAUCACUUUCCGGUCAACAUGUGUGAACCCUCGGAGGCCGGUGCGUACCUUUAACAAGCUGAUACCAGAGCUCCUUGCUGUGUUGCCGGUUAGUACCUGUCCCAGCAACAGCAACAGAAGCCAGGAAGGAUGUCUUUCACAUGGAAGACACUCAACUGGUGCUCAGCACAGAAUGGACUGAGAGAUUUAAUCCUCAUUUAAUGCAGCACUGUUUUAUCUCUAUCAGGCAAACACAUGGGCACGAAGCACAUUCUACAUAUGUUACACUGUCUAAGGUUUCUCCUAUUAAAAAUAUGAAUAAUUAAUUAAAUUGAGAUCCCUG
RNAcentral lists this long non-coding RNA (546 nucleotides) under Coturnix japonica (Japanese quail). RNAcentral's name for it is "lncRNA (ENSCJPG00005003600.1)". Lineage: Eukaryota; Metazoa; Chordata; Aves; Galliformes; Phasianidae. The record is from RNAcentral.